GACGAACGCUGGCGGCGUGCUUAACACAUGCAAGUCGAACGAAGAGCGAUGGAAGCUUGCUUCUAUCAAUCUUAGUGGCGAACGGGUGAGUAACGCGUAAUCAACCUGCCCUUCAGAGGGGGACAACAGUUGGAAACGACUGCUAAUACCGCAUACGAUCCGACCUCGGCAUCGAGGAUGAUGAAAGGUGGCCUCUAUUUAUAAGCUAUCACUGAAGGAGGGGAUUGCGUCUGAUUAGCUAGUUGGAGGGGUAACGGCCCACCAAGGCAAUGAUCAGUAGCCGGUCUGAGAGGAUGAACGGCCACAUUGGGACUGAGACACGGCCCAGACUCCUACGGGAGGCAGCAGUGGGGAAUCUUCCGCAAUGGACGAAAGUCUGACGGAGCAACGCCGCGUGAGUGAUGACGGCCUUCGGGUUGUAAAGCUCUGUUAAUCGGGACGAAAGGUCUUCUUGCGAAUAGUUAGAAGAAUUGACGGUACCGGAAUAGAAAGCCACGGCUAACUACGUG
Molecule: ribosomal RNA, 509 nt
Filed under: uncultured bacterium
Lineage: Bacteria
Description: partial 16S ribosomal RNA
Rfam family: Bacterial small subunit ribosomal RNA
Source: RNAcentral